UACGUAGGGGGCUAGCGUUGUCCGGAAUCAUUGGGCGUAAAGCGCGUGUAGGCGGUCCGGUAAGUCCGCUGUGAAAGUCGAGGGCUCAACCCUCGAAUGCCGGUGGAUACUGUCGGGCUUGAGUACGGGAGAGGCGAGUGGAAUUCCUGGUGUAGCGGUGAAAUGCGCAGAUAUCAGGAGGAACACCGAUUGCGAAGGCAGCUCGCUGGAACGUUACUGACGCUGAGACGCGAAAGCAUGGGGAGCAAACAGG
Molecule: ribosomal RNA, 253 nt
Filed under: uncultured bacterium
Lineage: Bacteria
Description: partial 16S ribosomal RNA
Rfam family: Bacterial small subunit ribosomal RNA
Source: RNAcentral